RNAcentral lists this long non-coding RNA (9017 nucleotides) under Vitis vinifera (wine grape). Its description in RNAcentral is "long non-coding RNA (VVIN_LNC003211)". The record is from RNAcentral. Lineage: Eukaryota; Viridiplantae; Streptophyta; Magnoliopsida; Vitales; Vitaceae.
AAACACAUGAUCCUGAAUUUUCUAGUAGGCCUUCCUUACUUGUGAUUACUACCAAAAAGUGCUAUUUUGUAGACCUAAUUAUAAUGGUUUUAAGCACCUUUGAGUAGUAAUCAUAUUCAUUUAACCCAAUUAAUUCAUUAAGGUCCUUAGUAAUUGGUUUUAACCAUUUUGUGGCAAGUUUACAUGUUUUUAUCAGCUUAUAAAUCAAUUCAAGCAUGCCAAAUGAUGGAGGAUCUACUUGGACAAGUUAUGGCAAAGCUUUUGGAAGCUCAAAUUCAUGAAGAACCAAGCUUUGGAGCUCCAUAGCCCUUUGCCAAAGUUGUUCAAAGUAUGCAAGGAGAGAAGCAAGGAGAGAGGAAAAACAGAGUGAAGAAAACAGAGGACAGCAGCUGCAGUCUUCUUUAGCACUUUUUGAGCACUUUCCGAAGUCCAUUUUCUACAUGCUAUAUACCAUUUCAAAGCUCAGGAAGUCAAGAAUCCAACGCUUCAAACCGUGUAUGAUUUGGAGCUGAAAUGAGGAAGUUACAGCCUUUGGAAGAUGACUUCUCCAAGCUGAAGGAAGGAUUCAGCAAAGUGUUGCGAAAUCAGCCUUUUGUUACGAGAAUUUCGCAGCCUUUUUGCACAGUGCUUUGGAUUUCCCCUGAAGUUUCACGCCGCGAUGGAAGCCAAACACCACAAUAUGAAAGCCAACUUCGUAGAGGUGUGGAAUCAGCCUUUUGCUGCAAAGAAAUUUCGCAGACCUCCUUGUGCACCUGCGAAAUUUCGCAGACCUCAUUUUUCACCUGCGAAAUGGUUCCUGGAGCACCCCGAUAUUUGCGACCGACACUUUGGGAUAUUUUUCUUCAGAUAUUUUUGUAUGAAUUUCCAUUCUUCUCCUUGUAAUCCACCAACCAUAAGAUUUCUUAGUUGGGAAGGUUGGAAAAACAUCUCUAUACAUAUUCCCUUGCAUCCACUGUAAGAAAUCAUAUAUGUAAUAUCGAUCAAUAUAUAGAAUAUACAGAGUCUUGCUCUGUUUUUCCUUCUCUUUCACUUUUCAUUUCUUUUUAUUUCUAGCCAACCAAACUCUGAGGAUUUUUCCUCAGAGGAUUCAGAUAUUUUUGUAUGAAUUUCCAUUCUUCUCCUUGUAAUCCACCAACCAUAAGAUUUCUUAGUUGGGAAGGUUGGAAAAACAUCUCUAUACAUAUUCCCUUGCAUCCACUGUAAGAAAUCAUAUAUGUAAUAUCGAUCAAUAUAUAGAAUAUACAAAGUCUUGCUCUGUUUUUCCUUCUCUUUCACUUUUCAUUUCUUUUUAUUUCUAGCCAACCAAACUCUGAGGAUUUUUCCUCAGAGGAUGAGAGGCUAGGCUCUUUGUCUCUUGGAGUGAGGAAAGUCGGGUAAGUUUCCACAUGCAUAAUUUGGAAGUUUUGUUGUUUUAGUUUUUAAUGAAGAGAAAGUGUGACCCGUUAAUGGUUUUUAUCUUUUUAGUUAACUUAAAACGCCUUUAAAUCACCUGGGCCAACACUUGGUAAGGCAAGUGAUCUCCGUCCAUGGAGAUUCACUAGUUUAUCUCUUGCGAGCCUUUGGGAGGUGACUUGAAGGUAGGAUUUUCUAGAAUAGCCAACACUUGGUAAGCUUUUGGACUCCAAGGAGACAUCCAUUAGUUAUCUCUUGCGAGCUUUUGACGGGUAAUCCAAAGUUAAAGAUCACCUUGAAUGGCAAGUGCUAGGUGAGAGGUAUGAGCCAUUGCAAGGUGCAUCAGUGAGAGGGAUUUAGUGUUUGAACCCAUUAAUGGGAAGCAUCUGUACAACACCGGUUGGAGAAGGAACUAUAUGUUAAUUCUCUAAUGCGAGGAAAAGAAACAAGUGACCGGAACUCCCUUUUUGUAUGAGGAACCUGAGCCUAGUGAUCUGAACUCCAAGAAACAUCUUUUCUUUGUAAGUAAAAUCAGUUACUAUUUUUGGUUAGUUUAAAUCUAAACCUUUUUCAUCCAAUGCAAGUUUAUGUUUUCUUUUAAAGAUAACCUUGAAAUGAAAAGACACCAAUUCAACUUUGAAUUAAUAUCAUUUGUGAAGUGAAAACCCAUUCCAGUGAACGAUCCUAGAGCCACUAUGCUAUAGUAGCUUUGUCUUUGCUACCCUAGUAAAUGGUGUAAUAGGUUAUAAAUUUUGUUGAUUACUCCCUCAUUAAAGGAGCACCAACUGAACAUGAAUCAGCUGAGACACUAAUUGGGCACGAAUCAAAUGGCGUCGUUGUCGGGGAUCGAACCCCGAAUCAAAUGGUUCCGUUGCCACUGCCGUUGCUAGGAAUGAAUUAAAUGUCACCCCCCAACCGACUCAUUGCUAGUCCCUUAGCAAUGGAGGAGAUGAAAACUAAGUAAACUAUAAUAAUAUCCAUAAAAGGGAUCAUGCAAAUCACUCCAAAAAAUGAUAUGAGUGGCAUGAUGGACAUCCAUGGAUCAAUAAAGAUGUGAAACUCAACCUAUAAUAAGAGUUGUCAAAGCAUUCACUUGAUCUUAGAGUACAAAGAAUGGAUAUUAUGCAAGUUUAAGCAUCAAAAUAAUUUCCACUCUCAAAAGAUCCAAAUCAAAUUCUUCCACUAAAAGCUAAGUGUUAAUGUGAUUAGCUUCCGAGUAUAGUAUGGAUAACUAUCAUCUCCCCCCAACCUAAGUCUUUCUUUAAGCUUAGCAAAAUUAACCAUCUCUUGAUAGGCUAGGAACGCACCUCUUAUUCACAAUUCUUUUCACUUACUAAACUUAACCAAUUCACUCAUGUAACAAGCAGAGGAUCGGUGACUCCCAACCAAUAAAGGCUUAGGGCACCAGGCUUUAAAGGCUUUCGCCACCCCUUCGGACCAUGCUCAGGUUUCAAGGCAAGUAAAGAAGUUUAUUCUAUAUUUCUUUUUCUUUUUCUUUUUCUUUUUCUUUUUUUUUUCUUUCUUUUUUUUUUCAAAGACUCAUUGGUCUUUAUGAGGUGUCCCAACACUAUUAAAGAGAGGUUAAAGGUGUCAAAUUAUGAUUUCUCAAGCUUAGAGGGUGAGAUAGUUUCACAUCUUAUAACCGGAAUCUAAUGUAUGUGUGUGCGAAUAGCUUAAGGUGGAAGAGAUAAGUUUUCAUGCAAUGGGAGUUUCAAUAAUUCAUCAACUUUUAGAAGAGCAUAAUACAAACUCUAAGAUUCAUGUAAUCAAGUUGAAACUCGACUUCUCUCAUUUAAUUUUGAGAGUUAAUCCUUAAUAUCCAUGGAGUUUAAAGCAAAAAUUUUAAAAUUUAAACAAAAAAGUAGCUAAUUUACCAAAAUAACUUAGCAUUAAUAACAAAAACUUCCUUCCUCAACUUUCACCCCCAACCAAGCUGAACAUUUUCCUCAAUGUGACAAAAGCAAUUGAAAAAUAGGGAGGAAGUGGUACCUCCUGAGUGACAUGGAGUCUGAGUCGUAUAGGGGAAACCACAUGUUUCAAAGAAAACAUAAGAGUUAGUGAGUAGAGGAAAUAGAAAAAUGCCAAGUUUAAACAAAAAUGAUGUCUAUGUAUGAUGUAUCAUCAGUAAUACAUCCAAUCCUAGAAUAUAAGACAUCAAAACAUGGAAUAUAAUAAGUAGAGACAAAAAGUAAAGAGAUGAUCAAGUAAUGGUAGGGUCAUGUGGAACUGAUGCGUCUGUGGUGGCCUCUUGAAUGGGUUGGAUCAGGACUUUGGCCUCUGUUCUGGUAGUCUCCUUAGGUGGCAUAGUCUCCUCAACUGGAGCUCUCAGUUGGUAGCUAUGGGAUUUGAUGGUUUAAGGAGGUCAGAAAUGGAGUGAGAGGCUUUGUGUGUGUGAUCUCAAGGUGAGUGGGGCUUUCAUCUUUAGAUGCAUGGUCGCGGGGCUCUGUUGGCAUUUUUGCAACUUCCCUUGGCUUUGCAAAGUGUUUUUACAAAUCACCCUCCAUUUCACAAGUCAAUUUCGCAAUUUCCAGGCCAUUUCUAAGCUUGGAGGUGAUUUCGCAACCAUUUUGAAGCUUGGAGAUCAUUUCGCAUAAAAGUGGCAUGUUCACUGACCAUUUUUGAAGCUUGGAGCAUUUUCGCAGCGGGGGGUGGAUUUCGUAGAGGAGGGGAAUUCUCGCAGCCCAUUUCGUAGCUUAAAAGUGAUUUCGCAGCUCAUAGGUGAUUUCGCAGCCAUAUCGAAGCUUGGAGAUCAUUUCAUAGCCAUUUCAAAGCUCAAAAGUGAUUUCGCAGGUGUAUCGCAGCUUCAAAAUGAGGAGAACUGUGCUACAAAAUGGCACUCGUGUGCCAAAGUUGGUUUCGCAGCUGCGAAACACCCUUCCAAAUGGCGUCUCGGCUGCGAAAUUUCCGCUCAGCUUUAUGUGCUUGUCUUCAAACGACCAUAACUUCUUCAUUUCACCUCCAAAUUGAGCACUGUUUAAAGCUAUGGACUCCUGACUUCCCAAGCUUUCAAACAAGAUAUCGUAUGCAUAAUUUGAGCUUCAAAAAGGGCUUCAAAAAUGUGUCCAACAGUAGCAAAAUGGAGGUGCGACAUUUCCGUUCAUGGUUUGCACAGUCAUCUUCAAAUGGCCAUAACUUUUCCGUUUCAAAUCCAAAGCGAGCACCGUUUAAAGCUAUGGACUUGUGACUUCCCAAGAUUUGAAACGAGAUAUUGCAUGCAUAAUUUGAACUUCUGGAAGUGAUCAAAAUGUGUCCAACAAUUGCCGAAAUGGGGGUGCGGCUGUGAAAUUGGGAUUUUUCACGUUUUGGAACUUCGCAACCAUUUUGCAGCUGUGAAAUGAGGGUCACUGUGCUGCAAAAUGGCAAUCGUGUGCCAAAAUCGGCUUCGCAAUUGCGAAAUACCCUGCGAAAUGGGACUUUUGGUGCGAAAUCAGGCUUUACCACUUUGCAAUGCAUUUCGCAGCUGCGAAAAUUUUCGCAGAGAGGGCAAUUGGGCUGCGAACUGGUUUCGCAGCAAAGUGCCAAUUUCGCAGAGGCUGCGAAAUCUCAUAGACCCCUGUUUUUGCCCUGUUUUUGACCCGUUUUUGCUCCGAUUUCGCUCCGAAAGACUUUCUUCAAUUUCUUUGCAAUUCCUCUUGAUUUUGAUCAUCCAAAAACCUAUAUUACAUCAAAACAAACUAGAAUUAAAGCAUUGAAAUCAAAAUUAAAGCAUUGAAAUUAACAAAACAAAAAGAUAUGGACUAGCUAGUCUUUAAAAAGACUAAGUCCAUCAAAAAAUUUGAUCCUGAUUUAGCUUGCCCGGAUCCCAUAUGAAGUUUGCAUCCUUCAAUUGAGACUUGGUUUGUAUGAUUUUCCCAUACAAAGCUUGGAGAAAAGGCGGAGGCAUGUGUUUCAUCCUUUCUUCCUUGAUGACUAUCCUCUGUGGUUCUUCAUCUAUAUAGUCAUCUUUCUCUGUACUUUUCCCCUUUUUCUUUCCUUUGAUUUCCUCCCUCUUUUCUUUCUCUGUUUCACUCUCUACCUUAUGCUCUAGCUUGCAUGUGGGCAGAUCAGCCUCUUUACCACUCCUCAGAGUGAUCACUUCUUCAAUUUCCUUCACCAUUGAAGAUUCUCCCUCUUGAGCCUCCAUUUCAUGGAUACUCAUGGAAUUUUGAUAAGGUUGAGAAGGAGAGUUUUCUUUCUCUUGCAUUGUGUUGAGGUUGGCAAGCCUUGAGAUUGAAUCUUGGAGAAUAUCUAACUUCUGAGAUAGAUCAUUUUGCAUUUCAUCCAUCCUUUUAUUCAAAGUACUCUCCACUCUGUCAAUUCUUUGAUUGAUUUGAGCAUUGAUGGCUUCUUGCUUUCCAACAAAAUCUCCCACGACCUUGCAAAGAUUCACCAUAGCUUGUUCAAGGUUUGAGGCUUGCUGUGGUGCUUGAGCAGGUUGCUGAUACUGAGGUGGCUGUGGUUUCCAAGAGAAAUUUGGAUGGUCCCUUCAAUUGGAAUUGUAGGUGUUGCAAUCACCAAACAUUUCCCUCUCGGCUAGAAUGGUAGGACACUCAUCCACCAAGUGCUCAUAUGAUCGACAAAUGGCACAAGGCAUAGCUUGCAAUGGUGUUUGAGAGAUGGCUUGCACUUCUUGCAUCUGGUUCAUUUCUAGCUCUUCCAAUCUCUGCCUUCAUGUUCAUACCAUCAUUCAAAAUUUACAUCUCACCCUUAGCUUUAGGUUGAGACUUCAUUCUCCCCAUAUCUCGAGCAUUUGGUUCAUCCCAUCCUCUUGAGACUUCAGCCACAUAACUCAUGAAGUUCAUGGCUUCCUCUUCUAUGGUAUUCAAUAUGGCAUGCACAACUAGCAACUUGUGAAUUAAAAACAGAGAAAACAAAAGAAAACAAAAGAAAAACAAUUCAAAGAAAGAAAAUUAAGGUAAACUAAAAAACUAAAUAAAAGGUACACUAAAAUAUGAACAAUAAAGAAAUAAAAAGAGUUAGCAAAAGGAAAAAAAAAGUCACCAAACUUGUGAUGAAGAUCUCAAGUACUCUUAAAAGAUCAUAUCACUGCAAAGUGGCACCAUUUGAUUCGGGGUUCGAUCCCCGGCAACGGCGCCAUUUGAUUCGUCCCUAGCAGUGGCAGUGGCAAUGGCACCAUUUGAUUCGAGGUUCGAUCCCCCGGCAACGGCGCCAUUUGAUUCAUUCCCAGCAACGGCAGUGGCAACGACACCAUUUGAUUCAGGGUUCGAUCCCCGGCAACGGCGCCAUUUGAUUCGUGCCCAAUUGGUGUCUCAGCUGAUUCGUGUUCAGCCGGUGCUCCUUGAUUGAGGGAGUAAUCAACAAAAUUUAUAACCUAUUACACCAUUUACUAGGGUAGCAAAGACAAAGCUACUAUAGCAUAGUGGCUCUAGGAUCGUUCACUGGGAUGGGUUUUCACUUCACAAAUGAUAUUAAUUCAAAGUUGAAUUGGUGUCUUUUCAUUUCAAGGUUAUCUUUAAAAGAAAACAUAAACUUGCAUUGGAUGAAAAAGGUUUAGAUUUAAACUAACCAAAAAUAGUAACUGAUUUUACUUACAAAGAAAAGAUGUUUCUUGGAGUUCAGAUCACUAGGCUCAGGUUCCUCAUACAAAAAGGGAUUUCCGGUCACUUGUUUCUUUUCCUCGCAUUAUAGAAUUAACAUAUAGUUCCUUCUCCAACCGGUGUUGUACAGAUGCUUCCCAUUAAUGGGUUCAAACACUAAAUCCCUCUCACUGAUGCACCUUGCAAUGGCUCAUACCUCUCACCUAGCACUUGCCAUUCAAGGUGAUCUUUAACCUUGGAUUACCCGUCAAAAGCUCGCAAAAGAUAACUAAUGGAUGUCUCCUUGGAGUCCAAAAGCUUACCAAGUGUUGGCUAUUCUAGAAAAUCCUACCUUCAAGUCACCUCCCAAAGGCUUGCAAGAGAUAAACUAGUGAAUCUCCAUGGACGGAGAUCACUUGCCUUACCAAGUGUUGGCCCAGGUGAUUUAAAGGUGUUUUAAGUUAACUAAAAAGAUAAAAACCAUUAACGGGUCACACUUUCUCUUCAUUAAAAACUAAAACAACAAAACUUCCAAAUUAUGCAUGUGGAAACUUACCCGGCUUUCCUCACUCCAAGAGACAAAGAGCCUAGCCUCUCAUCCUCUGAGGAAAAAUCCUCAGAGUUUGGUUGGCUAGAAAUAAAAAGAAAUGAAAAGUGAAAGAGAAGGAAAAACAGAGCAAGGCUCUGUAUAUUCUAUAUAUUGAUCGAUAUUACAUAUAUGAUUUCUUACAGUGGAUGCAAGGGAAUAUAUAUAGAGAUGUUUUUCCAACCUUCCCAACUAAGAAAUCUUAUGGUUGGUGGAUUACAAGGAGAAGAAUGGAAAUUCAUACAAAAAUAUCUGAAGAAAAAUAUCCCAAAGUGUCGGUCGCAAAUAUCGGGGUGCUCCAGGAACCAUUUCGCAGGUGAAAAAUGAGGUCUGCGAAAUUUCGCAGGUGCACAAGGAGGUCUGCGAAAUUUCUUUGCAGCAAAAGGCUGAUUCCACACCUCUACGAAGUUGGCUUUCAUAUUGUGGUGUUUGGCUUCCAUCGCGGCGUGAAACUUCAGGAGAAAUCCAAAGCACUGUGCAAAAAGGCUGUGAAAUUCUCGCAACAAAAGGCUGAUUUCGCAACACUUUGUUGAAUCCUUCCUUCAGCUUGGAGCAGUCAUCUUCCAAAGGCUGUAACUUCCUCAUUUCAGCUCCAAAUCGUACACGGUUUGAAGCGUUGGAUUCUUGACUUCCUGAGCUUUGAAAUGGUAUAUAGAAUGUAGAAAAUGGACUUCGGAAAGUGCUCCAAAAGUGUGAAAGAAGACUACAGCUGCUGUCCUCUAUUUUCUUCACUCUGUUUUUCCUCUCUCCUUGCUUCUCUCCUUGCAUACUUUGAACGACUUUGGAAAAGGGCUAUGGAGCUCCAAAGCUUGGUUCUUCAUGAAUUUGAGCUUCCAAAAGCUUUGCCAUAACUUGUCCAAGUAGCUCCUCCAUCAUUUGGCAUGCUUGAAUUGAUUCAUAAGCUGAUAAAAACAUGUAAACUUGCCACAAAAUGGUUAAAACCAAUUACUAAGGACCUUAAUGAAUUAAUUGGGUUAAAUGAAUAUGAUUACUACUCAAAGGUGCUUAAAACCAUUAUAAUUAGGUCUACAAAAUAACACUUUUUGGUAGUAAUCAACUUGCCCUGCAAAAACUAUCCUACAAUGGUCUAGAUUUGGCUUUUGCCUCCUACGGUGCCUACUGGAGGGAAAUUAGAAAGAUUUGUGUUCAUCUUUUUAGACAUUGUAGACAUCUUACUUAAACUACACAAGGAUCGUUUGUUCACAGUUGAUCUAUCUUGGAAUCACAUUAAAGCAGUGCUCAUGGUAAUCUAUUUUUCCUUUUCGGAUACUGCCCUUGAAAAUAAUUUUUUAUUCUUUCAAAAGAAAUUAAUCUUUUAAUUUUAAAAAAAGUUCGGCAAAAUUUUUAUUUGAACAAGUUUUUGAGAAAAUUUUCAUGCUUAUUUAUUGAUUUUUUUUGGUAUUUUGAGAAAGAAUUAGAAACACUAAGAAUGGACCAAAACUUUUGUAACCCAUAUAAGUGUGUACAAUGUCUUCACCGAAAAACAAUUAAAAAAAAAAAAUUGUUUUUCAUAUUGAGAUUUU